Long non-coding RNA from Stegostoma tigrinum, 1856 nucleotides. RefSeq lists it as uncharacterized. Lineage: Eukaryota; Metazoa; Chordata; Chondrichthyes; Orectolobiformes; Stegostomatidae. The record is from RefSeq and is a predicted model, not a curated record. The transcript has 3 exons.
AGUUUGAUGACAUUCAAAUAUGCUCUGCAUUAGCUUCCGCUGCACAUAAUCACACACAGUUUAAAUUGGCUAUGGACUAGUAGGUUUAAGAAAAAACAAUUGAAAUGUAUUCAUUAAAUUGAUUGGCAAAGGCUGUUCUCACAGUAAAAACGGAAUGUGUGUGCAUUGGUAGGUAUUGUUAGUAUAGACUGUGUUUGCAGGUUGGAUUUCUUGCGACGGGUAAAAGGUGACAGGUGAACAAAUCGUAGGCCUGGAGCUGCUAGAAACAGCCUCUCUCUGUAAACGUCACCAUCUCCAGUACCAUCUGCUGUCAGUCGGCUACCACACUGACACACAAAGGUACCAGCUUCCAACCAGCAACCGUGACUAACUCCUAACAAUAGAAUUCAAAUCGCAGACUGCUUAAUCCACAGGAUCGAGGUUUGCACAGAUAACUGACAGGGUCAUCUACACUUCGCUUUGCUAAACAUUCGCCUCUCUCCUCCUGUGUAAGAAACUAUUCGCAAUGAUCAGUAAUGGAAAGUUGAAGUGAUUAUGUCUGCUUGAAUUUAGAGACCCGGCUGGAGAGGAGAGAAAGGGGAUGUCAGCAUUGACAGACAGAAGAGAUACCACAAUUCACUCCAAGGAUGGAUCCCAAGACGUGAGGAAUGCGGGUUAUGGGAACUCUACAUGACAAUGUACAGUGCUCCGUGAGCUCAAUAUCACACGUAAAUACAAAAUGAAGAACCGGUAUAAGUCAUAAAUCAUUUUCCUAUUACCCCUAGCGUGUAGUUCAGUAUAUAUUGUGUUAGCUAGGACGAGCUGGCUUUGAAUUUGUCAUGAGCGGAAGAUUCCAGGUCAUUUAAAUUCCACUUGUUCAUGCUUUGAAUUGGCUGAUGUCUAUGAUACAGUUCAGUGAGUUUACAAUAAGUGAUCAGUGUCUCCCUCACUUUCUGAACGGACCUAUACAUAGUUCCCUUUCACUAUGAAAAUCAGAUUAAACCGUUCACAGAGUCGGUUGUUUCUUUUUUUUCAAAAAAAGCUCAGAACGGACAGCUCCGGUUUUGGAAUUUCAGUUUUCCCAGUGUUGUGAGGAACUUGAUUCUGGGUGUUGAAUUCUCGCCCUGGGCCAGCUCAGCCCGAGUUUUCCAGCGCUUUCCCACUUCAGCCGCCCAGGCAUAAAGCGACAACACUGUAAGAACCCUUCCUCUGCAAAAUAGUUCCUGUUUGUUUUUCUACAACAUUUUCUUUUUAAAAUCUUCCAGGCAGAGCAUAUUUUCCUAUUAAAACUGUUUGAUUAUAAUCACAUACCACAUAUAUUUCGUUCCUGACUCGAUUAAUAUCUAUUAAUUAGAAAAUGCAGCUUGUUGAGAUGGCUGUCAGUGCUAUUUCAUUUUCUUGCAUCAUUCCUCCAGACAGUUACGAAGAUGUGAGUAUCCAAAUACGAUAUAACCCUACCCCUGUGCGCGCGCGCGUGUGUUUGUGAUUCACUGGGGACAAUAUCUGACUGGAUUGAAAUAUCCUGCUACCCCUCCCCCUCUCUGUGGUUAACAGUCCAAAAUUAUCAUACGCCAGGAUAAUAAUAAAAAAAACGCCCAGUCUGAUUUAAUUAGAUGAGAACGUUAUGAUCUGGAUAGCAACGAUUUGUCCUAACUAGGUAACUUGAUCAAUCAUGGAGCCCCAUGAACAAGUCAAAAAGAGCGCCGCAUUUACAACUAAAACGGCGCUUUGAAAAAAAAUUCGUGUAACUAUUUGUGAAAUGCAGGAGAUUCGCAAUUCCCGAUAUUUGCAGCAAGAUAUAACUAGGAUCCGAACUGUGUGAUCCACCGCAUUGCCAGCACUCGCUGAUAAAUUCAACCGCUACAGACUACACUCCU